This 699-nucleotide ribosomal RNA is filed under the name uncultured Bacilli bacterium. Its description in RNAcentral is "bacterial SSU rRNA". It matches the Rfam family "Bacterial small subunit ribosomal RNA", at positions 53 to 725 of the family's 1533-position model. The record is from RNAcentral. Lineage: Bacteria; Bacillati; Bacillota; Bacilli.
GCGAGCUUGCCUAGAUGAAUUUGGUGCUUGCACCAAAUGAAACUAGAUACAAGCGAGCGGCGGACGGGUGAGUAACACGUGGGUAACCUGCCCAAGAGACUGGGAUAACACCUGGAAACAGAUGCUAAUACCGGAUAACAACACUAGACGCAUGUCUAGAGUUUAAAAGAUGGUUCUGCUAUCACUCUUGGAUGGACCUGCGGUGCAUUAGCUAGUUGGUAAGGUAACGGCUUACCAAGGCAAUGAUGCAUAGCCGAGUUGAGAGACUGAUCGGCCACAUUGGGACUGAGACACGGCCCAAACUCCUACGGGAGGCAGCAGUAGGGAAUCUUCCACAAUGGACGCAAGUCUGAUGGAGCAACGCCGCGUGAGUGAAGAAGGGUUUCGGCUCGUAAAGCUCUGUUGGUAGUGAAGAAAGAUAGAGGUAGUAACUGGCCUUUAUUUGACGGUAAUUACUUAGAAAGUCACGGCUAACUACGUGCCAGCAGCCGCGGUAAUACGUAGGUGGCAAGCGUUGUCCGGAUUUAUUGGGCGUAAAGCGAGUGCAGGCGGUUCAAUAAGUCUGAUGUGAAAGCCUUCGGCUCAACCGGAGAAUUGCAUCAGAAACUGUUGAACUUGAGUGCAGAAGAGGAGAGUGGAACUCCAUGUGUAGCGGUGGAAUGCGUAGAUAUAUGGAAGAACACCAGUGGCGAAGGCGGC